GUGUAUCGCCUCGAUACACAAGAAGCUCGACAUAGUAAGCCUUCCUAAAUGAAUUUGUAAAACAGCAAGUAAUGCAUCAAAUUGACAACACCCGUUGCUUUGUGUGAGAACUGAAACUGUCUGGAGGUUGGUUGUGGGAAGAAGUGUCUGCAGUACUGGUGACAGAGGAAGAGCAGCACUGCAGGAUUCCAGAGAGGAAUGGCCAUGGCAGGAGGGAAAAAUCCCUCGUUCCAGACGCAGCUUCACUUUAAACACAGUGACUUGUCUGAAAUAAAUGGAUACAGCUUUCCAGUCACCAGACACUAAAGAGGCAGCUUGAGCAGACUUUGUCCCCAAAACUACAGUUAGGGUAAGCAUACAGGAGAGCUCCAAAGAAAGGAGACUUCUCAGUGAGUGCCUUUGGAGAAGGAGGCUAUCCAGCGACUUACCGCCUAGGGAGACAGU
Long non-coding RNA from Oxyura jamaicensis (ruddy duck), 444 nucleotides. RefSeq lists it as uncharacterized. The record is from RefSeq and is a predicted model, not a curated record. The transcript is spliced from 3 exons. NCBI's taxonomy places the organism in Eukaryota, Metazoa, Chordata, Aves, Anseriformes, Anatidae.